This is a small nucleolar RNA of Bufo bufo (common toad), 77 nucleotides long. RefSeq annotates it as small nucleolar RNA SNORD72. NCBI's taxonomy places the organism in Eukaryota, Metazoa, Chordata, Amphibia, Anura, Bufonidae. The record is from RefSeq and is a predicted model, not a curated record. The transcript has a single exon.
UGCUUAUCUAUGAUGUUUCUCAAUAAAUGUCUGAACUUAUGACAUCCAAUGAUUCCACCUUGUAACUGAGAUAAGCG